RNAcentral lists this ribosomal RNA (207 nucleotides) under uncultured bacterium. RNAcentral describes it as "partial 16S ribosomal RNA". It matches the Rfam family "Bacterial small subunit ribosomal RNA", at positions 568 to 774 of the family's 1533-position model. The record is from RNAcentral.
CGCGUAGGCGGCUUGAUAAGUCGGAUGUGAAAGCCCCGGGCUUAACCUGGGAAUUGCAUUCGAUACUGUCUGGCUGGAGUGUGGUAGAGGGAAGCGGAAUUCCGGGUGUAGCGGUGAAAUGCGUAGAUAUCCGGAGGAACACCAGUGGCGAAGGCGGCUUCCUGGACCAACACUGACGCUGAGGUGCGAAAGCGUGGGGAGCAAACA